Molecule: RNase P RNA, 282 nt
Filed under: Actinomycetota bacterium
Lineage: Bacteria; Bacillati; Actinomycetota
Description: Actinobacteria bacterium partial RNase P RNA component class A
Rfam family: Bacterial RNase P class A
About the family: Ribonuclease P (RNase P) is a ubiquitous endoribonuclease, found in archaea, bacteria and eukarya as well as chloroplasts and mitochondria. Its best characterised activity is the generation of mature 5'-ends of tRNAs by cleaving the 5'-leader elements of precursor-tRNAs.
Source: RNAcentral
ACAGAGCAGGAUGGUGGGUAACACCCACCCGGGGUAACCCGCGAGACAGUGCCACAGAGAAUAGACCGCCCGCAAGGGUAAGGGUGAAACGGUGGUGUAAGAGACCACCAGGAGGCCGGGUGACCGGCUUCGCUAGGUAAACCUCGUCCGGAGCAAGACCAGACAGAUGCCAUUGACGCUGCUCGCCGAGGCAUCGGGUAGGUUGCUAGAACUCCGCGGUAACGCGGCGUCGAGAAAGAUGACCGUCCACGACAGAACCCGGCGUAUCGGCCGGCCCCUCGU